Molecule: ribosomal RNA, 254 nt
Filed under: uncultured bacterium
Lineage: Bacteria
Description: partial 16S ribosomal RNA
Rfam family: Bacterial small subunit ribosomal RNA
Source: RNAcentral
UACGUAGGGUGCGAGCGUUGUCCGGAUUUAUUGGGCGUAAAGAGCUCGUAGGCGGCUCAGUAAGUCAGGUGUGAAAACUCCAGGCUCAACCUGGAGACGCCACCUGAUACUGCUGUGGCUAGAGUCCGGUAGGGGAGCAUGGAAUUCCUGGUGUAGCGGUGAAAUGCGCAGAUAUCAGGAGGAACACCAGUGGCGAAGGCGGUGCUCUGGGCCGGAACUGACGCUGAGGAGCGAAAGCGUGGGGAGCAAACAGG